AUGGAGACCCCCACCAGCCCCCAGCCGUGCUCUCACAGCACCGGCCAGGACUGCACAGCACCAAGCGUGCCGACAGUGCGCAUCUCUUCGAAGGUUGUCGGUAAGAGCCCGGCGCGGCGGCAGCCGGCGUUGACCCCGCAACAAAGAGCAGCUCCCAAAUGGAAGAAAUGUGUGUUUCUGUGCCUGGAGGUAGCAUCUCUCUGCAUCCCCAUCUUCACCCUCUUACACAGCGAAAAAUGGCCCAGGGUGUCUCGUUUGAAAACAAGAUGCAUGUUAGAUAGGUUUAAUUUUCACCCUCUUAUGUUUUUGGGAGUAGGAGGAGGUGGGGAAGAGGGAAGGUGCUCUAGAAAUCUGAAUUUGAGGCACUGAAGGCCAUGUGUGAAUGCUCCUGUAGCUCAGAAAGCAGGGGUGAAAAGAUAUGCGGGAAAUCCUCCUCCUGUGUUAUCAGGGCAUUUUAGUAGCAGGCCCCACGCUUCUUUCAGCAGGUGAUACGAGGCCUGUAGCCCAGGUGGCUCUUUGGGCACACAGCUAUGGACAUGUCAUCUCACCCUCCUUUGGCCAGCUGCACAGUGCAGCACUGGCACCUAUGAACCCUUCUCCAGCUUGCCUGCAUUUUGAGCUUCACAUAAGCAAGGAAGGGCCUGGCAGAAGAAACAGUGUACUGAGCCCACCUAGAUGUCCUUCUUUCCUUGGGGCAAUACAGCAGCAAAAACUUUGCAUCAUGUCUUUCCUGAAAGUCUCCUAAAUGUUCACUAAGUGAAACAAAAAUACGAAACAAAAGCUGAAGUCUCCCAAAUGCUGACUGGAAUCAGCAGAUUCAGACAGGUCUCCUGGGAGAUGCUGGAACAGAUGAUACUGUGAAGUAAAUAACAGUGUGAAAUGGCACUGCAAGAGUGUGCUGGGAAGCUCGUUCUAAGGGUCAAAGUCGGGCUGAUGUGAGUGAUGUGGUAUUUCUUGGAGAUGUAAAAUUAGAAAUGUUACCCACAGCAGAGGGGCAGUUUCUCUCCUGACCUAAUCUGAUGCCAUUCCAGUUAUCUCAGAAAAUCACACUGAUUAGUAGAAGAAGUGAUUCUGAUCCUGGAACAAUGAGAGAUGUUUUUCAGCAAAAGUAAAGAAAGG
RNAcentral lists this long non-coding RNA (1119 nucleotides) under Coturnix japonica (Japanese quail). RNAcentral's name for it is "lncRNA (ENSCJPG00005018223.1)". Lineage: Eukaryota; Metazoa; Chordata; Aves; Galliformes; Phasianidae. The record is from RNAcentral.